GGGAUUACCUCAGUAACGGCGAGUGAAGCGGUAACAGCUCAAAUUUGAAAUCUGGCUCCUGCGGAGUCCGAGUUGUAAUUUGUAGAAGAUGCUUUGGGAGGUAGGCUCGGCCUAAGUUCCUUGGAACAGGACAUCAGAGAGGGUGAGAAUCCCGUAUGUGGCCGUGGCCUACGCCCGUGUAAAGCUCUUUCGACGAGUCGAGUUGUUUGGGAAUGCAGCUCAAAAUGGGUGGUAAAUUUCAUCUAAAGCUAAAUAUUGGCCAGAGACCGAUAGCGCACAAGUAGAGUGAUCGAAAGAUGAAAAGCACUUUGGAAAGAGAGUUAAACAGUACGUGAAAUUGUUGAAAGGGAAGCGCUUGCACCCAGACUUGGGCGUCGUCGAUCAUCCGAGGUUCUCCUCGGUGCACUCGGCGAGGCACAGGCCAGCAUCGGUUUGGAUGGUUGGAGAAAGGCUCUAGGAACGUAGCUCUCUUCGGGGAGUGUUAUAGCCUAGGGCGUAAUGCAGCCCAUCUGGACCGAGGACCGCGCCUUCGGGCUAGGAUGCUGGCGUAAUGGUUGCAAGCGA
RNAcentral lists this ribosomal RNA (564 nucleotides) under Golovinomyces tabaci. RNAcentral's name for it is "partial large subunit ribosomal RNA". It matches the Rfam family "Eukaryotic large subunit ribosomal RNA", at positions 71 to 647 of the family's 3401-position model. Lineage: Eukaryota; Fungi; Ascomycota; Leotiomycetes; Helotiales; Erysiphaceae. The record is from RNAcentral.